Molecule: ribosomal RNA, 607 nt
Filed under: Streptomyces sp. X61(2010)
Lineage: Bacteria; Bacillati; Actinomycetota; Actinomycetes; Kitasatosporales; Streptomycetaceae
Description: bacterial SSU rRNA
Rfam family: Bacterial small subunit ribosomal RNA
Source: RNAcentral
UUUUCUUGUUGGUGGGGUAAUGGCCUACCAAGGCGACGACGGGUAGCCGGCCUGAGAGGGCGACCGGCCACACUGGGACUGAGACACGGCCCAGACUCCUACGGGAGGCAGCAGUGGGGAAUAUUGCACAAUGGGCGAAAGCCUGAUGCAGCGACGCCGCGUGAGGGAUGACGGCCUUCGGGUUGUAAACCUCUUUCAGCAGGGAAGAAGCGAAAGUGACGGUACCUGCAGAAGAAGCGCCGGCUAACUACGUGCCAGCAGCCGCGGUAAUACGUAGGGCGCAAGCGUUGUCCGGAAUUAUUGGGCGUAAAGAGCUCGUAGGCGGCUUGUCACGUCGGAUGUGAAAGCCCGAGGCUUAACCUCGGGUCUGCAUUCGAUACGGGCUAGCUAGAGUGUGGUAGGGGAGAUCGGAAUUCCUGGUGUAGCGGUGAAAUGCGCAGAUAUCAGGAGGAACACCGGUGGCGAAGGCGGAUCUCUGGGCCAUUACUGACGCUGAGGAGCGAAAGCGUGGGGAGCGAACAGGAUUAGAUACCCUGGUAGUCCACGCCGUAAACGUUGGGAACUAGGUGUUGGCGACAUCCACGUCGUCGUCCGCAGCUACGCAUUU